This 1790-nucleotide unclassified non-coding RNA is filed under the name Leishmania donovani. Its description in RNAcentral is "gene:unknown". Lineage: Eukaryota; Euglenozoa; Kinetoplastea; Trypanosomatida; Trypanosomatidae. The record is from RNAcentral.
CCACGCUAGGCGGCUACCUUGCGCAUUUGGAGCGUGAGGUGCGCACGCCGCACGACGGUGUGGCGGCCCUCAUUACACGCAUGCAGGCAUUGGCUCUCCCGUUUCACAGAGACGCCGUCCUCGCUGCGAGACGGAUGGUGCGGCACAGACAGACAUCAAGUCGGAAGCGGCCGAAACGGUUUCCAAUAGCAAUACACUCAUAGAUGCAGCGGCAAGAAGCUGCGGCCGCCUUACUUGCAGCUGCCGCGCUCACUGUGAGGCGAAAGAGAGGGAACCUGAGCUGCUGCAAAAACUGCCGGGCCGGCUAAGACGAGCAAGCGCAUGUGUCAUUGCUGCUACGGCCUCGCUCUUCCUCCUCAUGGCGCUGCGCACGGGCCCUACAAGAGUGGAAGAUGGCAUGCUGCGACGCAUCUUGACACAAGUGCCGGCGUCGCUGUGGCCCGUCGCGUGCAUCUCUCCCGUUCAGAGUGUCGGUGGGCAUUGUGACAUGGUGUACAGCGACGAGGUGGCCGUGACUGCAAAGCCAGCCAUGCCAGAGGCGCCGACGCUAAGUGCAUGGACGGCGGAUCUGGUCGCCGGCCUCAGACGCCAGGCCGCCAUCCCCCGAAACCGCGCCACAUGCUGAGACAAGAGGUUCUUGGCGGCAACGGUCCCACAUCAAAAGAGCGCGGAUGCUGAGCUUGCAAGACGACAGGCGACCAUGCUCCCCUGGCUCCGCACGGGCACGCGCCCGCACUUUGGAUCGCUGCAGCGGCGGGUGGCUGUCAGCGACCACCAUGGGGGGCGAGGAUGGCGUGCUGCCUGCUGUUCCGCUAGCACCGCAGUACUCCCCCCCCCUCCACCGCCGGAGUCUCCGCCCCGAAACAGGGCCCGGGGUCGCGGCCCCGCUUCGGAUCAAGGCACGCAGUCCGGCCCGGUCGGUGUGGCUGCUGAUCGCGCAGCACGCAUGCGAGGCAGAGGGACGAGGCAAGGGCAAGAGGAGCCCGUGAGGCGCACGGCCCGGUUCGGGGGCAGGACGGCUCGUCCUAGACGACCAGGACCGAGCCGCGGUGCAACACGCGGGUAGGUGCACCGUGUCGUUGUGUGCGUGUAUAUAUACACACAUACAUAUAUAUGGGUGAUGACGUGUUCGUGGCAGCAUGAACAUCUCGAAAGGAGUAGGUGAAGAUACUCUUGCCUGUGAGGUGGUUCGUGCUUCUUCACAAAUGCUUGAGAUUUUCGCGAAUCGCUCGCAGCCGAACGUUCUGCUUUGGAGUCUCACAGCCGUUGGCCCGGUGUCUUUCUUUUAUGUAUGGCGUGUGCUUUCUUACAUAGUUUGGGUGGGGUGUGGCUCUUCGUCCGAGUUGUAAGGACAUCCUAAGUGGACGCAGAAGGGACUCUCGGUGUGAUACUGCAGGACCACAGGAUGCGUCUGACGCCUUUGCGGAAAUUCGCUUUUUUUUCAUUUGUCGUCUGCGUGCGCUCACCCCACCCCGGAUGCCUCCUCCUCUUUGAUGCAUCCAGUGGUCCAUGGCCACGUCCUCGAUCUAAGCGCUCUCUCCGCCACUUCUCUCUCUCCUGUGAAGGAAGGGAGCGCCAUGUUUGUUUUCUAUUUGUGUUGACUUGUUCGUUGUCACCAACCUCUGUUCUGUGCGUCAAGACGCCGACCGAGUUCCGGUGACUCUUUCUCAGUGCCGUGCUUGCCUGUGUGUUCCUCUCUACCUCUGCGAGCUAGACUCGUGCCUGAUGGUGUCUUCCUCCAUCCUGCUUCUGUUUUAACGCUGCGCAAGGGAAGUCACGGAAAUAGACCG